AGAGUUUGAUCCUGGCUCAGGACGAACGCUGGCGGCAUGCUUAACACAUGCAAGUGGAGCGACGAACCUUUUAGGGGCAAAGCCGCGAACGGGUGAGUAACACGUGGGCAAUCUGCCCCGAUGACUGGAAUAACACGAGGAAACUCGGGCUAAUACCGCAUACCUUCCGAUGACCGCAUGGUCGACGGAAGAAAGAAUUUCGCUCUGGGAGGGCCUCGCGGCCUAUCAGCUUGUUGGUGGGGUAGCGGCCCACCAAGGCAACGACGGGUAGCUGGUUUGAGAGAACGAUCAGCCACACUGGAACUGAGACACGGUCCAGACUCCUACGGGAGGCAGCAGUGGGGAAUCUUGCGCAAUGGGCGAAAGCCUGACGCAGCAACGCCGCGUGCGGGAUGACGGCCUUCGUGGUUGUAAACCGCUUUCAGCAGGGACGAAAAUGACGGUACCUGCAGAAGAAGCCCCGGCUAACUACGUGCCAGCAGCCGCGGUAAUACGUAGGGGGCAAGCGUUGUCCGGAUUCAUUGGGCGUAAAGAGCUCGUAGGCGGUUCAGUAAGUUGGGUGUGAAAGCUCCGGGCUCAACCCGGAGAGGCCACCCAAUACUGCUGUGACUAGAGUCCAGUAGAGGAGCGUGGAAUUCCUGGUGUAGCGGUGAAAUGCGCAGAUAUCAGGAGGAACACCAUUAGCGAAGGCGGCGCUCUGGGCUGGAACUGACGCUGAGGAGCGAAAGCGUGGGUAGCAAACAGGAUUAGAUACCCUGGUAGUCC
Molecule: ribosomal RNA, 765 nt
Filed under: uncultured bacterium
Lineage: Bacteria
Description: bacterial SSU rRNA
Rfam family: Bacterial small subunit ribosomal RNA
Source: RNAcentral